UUGCGGUGUAAAAAUGAGCGUGUGUCCUAUUAGCUAGUUGGAGAGGUAAUAGCUCACCAAGGCUACGAUGGGUAGGGGUUCUUAGUGGAAGGUCCCCCACACUGGCACUGAGAUACGGGCCAGACUCCUACGGGAGGCAGCAGUAGGGAAUAUUGGUCAAUGGGCGCAAGCCUGAACCAGCCAUGCCGCGUGCAGGAUGAAGGCUCUCUGAGUUGUAAACUGCUUUUGUACAGGAGCAAAAAAACCCCUGCGGGGGUUCUUGAGAGUACUGUAAGAAUAAGCACCGGCUAAUUCCGUGCCAGCAGCCGCGGUAAUACGGAAGGUGCAAGCGUUAUCCGGUUUUAUUGGGUUUAAAGGGUGCGUAGGCGGCUUAUUAAGUCAGUUGUGAAAUCCUAGUGCUUAACGCUAGAACUGCAAUUGAUACUACUAGGCUUGAGUUUAAGAAUAGGUA
This 451-nucleotide ribosomal RNA is filed under the name Candidatus Cardinium hertigii. RNAcentral's name for it is "bacterial SSU rRNA". It matches the Rfam family "Bacterial small subunit ribosomal RNA", at positions 212 to 660 of the family's 1533-position model. Lineage: Bacteria; Pseudomonadati; Bacteroidota; Cytophagia; Cytophagales; Amoebophilaceae. The record is from RNAcentral.